RNAcentral lists this long non-coding RNA (1757 nucleotides) under Oryctolagus cuniculus (rabbit). RNAcentral describes it as "lncRNA (ENSOCUG00000032335.1)". Lineage: Eukaryota; Metazoa; Chordata; Mammalia; Lagomorpha; Leporidae. The record is from RNAcentral.
UAAUUUUUUAUGAUUUAUUUAUGUAUAUGAAAGUCAGAGUUACACAGAGAGAGGAGAGGCAGAGAGAGAGUGGUCUUCCAUCUGAUGGUUCACUUCCCAAUUGGCCGCAAUGGCCAGAGCUGCUCUGAUCCGAAGCCAGGAGCCAGGAGCUUCUUCUGGGUCUCCCAUGCAGGUGCAGGGCCCCAAGGACUUGGGCCAUCUUCCACUGCUUUCCCAGGCCAUAGCAGAGAGCUGGAUUGGAAGUGGAACAGACGUGACUCGAACCAGUGCUCAUAUGGGAUGCUGGUGCUCCAGGCCAUGGAGUUAAUCUGCUGCACCACAGCGCUGGCCCCUCCUCUGAUUUUAAAAGAAUUAGCAGACUGAGAACAUGAUCAGAUCACCAUCAGCCAUCGAAGAAGUUAUCUGUGGUGGGAUGAAACAGAGAAAAGCUACUGGGAACUGGAGAGCAGGGCACUUAUAUCAUAGGACUCUGACGUUGGAAAUAGAAGUCUGUGUAAAACUUAGAAAAAGAAUAGUGUUCAGAGAGAACUACGGAUGAAAGCAGCUUGUUGAUAGGUGGACAAAGGAAGACUUUGUGUGAACACUGGCUAAUUAAGUCUUGCAAUUACUCAAAGAGCUUUCUUUUGUGUAGAGGAGAGACACAUAUAAGAGUGAUGUAUGAGUUCUGAUUGAAAAUACUUAUUCAUAUUCUUUGGGGGAAGGGCCAUUUGCCUAUGAAACAAAGCCAAGGCCGCCAAUUUCCCGCUUUGAGCAGGCAUGGGGAGAGUGGGACGAGGCAGGCUUCUAAAGUAGGUGAAAUUGUUGGCCAUGAAAAGUGUCUUUGACUCACCGUUUCAAUGGACUUAACCUUUAUUAAAUAUAGAACCCCUAUCAAAAUAGCUAUAAGCUGAGAGAAUUGCUUCCAAUACAUACUCCUUUUCUUAGUAGUCAUAGAAAAAACAAAGCUUGAUAAGCUCUUGGGGCUGGAGUAUUCUUCUCCCAUAUGGGAGUUAUUAUUUCCAGUUCAGUGUGUCUCAAAGUAGGGGUCAGGUCUCCCAGAGGCCAUAGGGGUCUGAGAGGGUUAACACAGAACAGAGCUACAGAACUCUGAAGUGAUCACUGUUGAUGAUGGUAGUGAACUCUGAGCUAUAUAAACCAGAUGAAAAGGUCUUCUUACCAGCCCCUAGCCUUCAGUUGUCUCCUAGCAAAUGUUCAACUAUGCUCCAUCUCCAAGAGGGGGCUCCAAACUGCUGUUUGAUGGCUUAUAGAAAUCAGUGCAAGCUUGCUUUCCUAUGUGGGAGGCAUGGAGCCAACAUAAGAACCUGAAAGCAAGUAGAGAGAAGAGGAAAGACAUUGACUUAGAGACGUUUUCAAUUUGUGGAGGAAGCUGGCAAGCCUCUACGGAGACAUAAACCAAAGCCCCAGGUGCUCCAAAUCUUCUGGCCCCUAAAAAUGUGGACUACAUUCCUUUCUUUACUUAAUAAGUUCUUGUCCAUUUUUUUUUUCCCUCUAACAAUCCCUGCUUUUCUUAAUACUUUUUUGUUGGCUCUUGCAACCUACCAACAUUAUAUUUCAAAACAGUAGCUUUAUCUUAGAAAUGUCUCAUGAAUCUAUGAGAUAAGUAACAGGGAUUUUUUUUAAGUGCCUAAUUACUAUCUAUUUUCUGAGCCCUUUCUCAUGCUCUUAUAAUCUGUGACAAAUCCAUAAACCAAGAGGUGGGGUAGAGAUUUUGCUGAUAAUCAGAAUAAACUCUUUCAUCAUUCAGAACCUUUAUUCCA